Molecule: ribosomal RNA, 440 nt
Filed under: uncultured bacterium
Lineage: Bacteria
Description: partial 16S ribosomal RNA
Rfam family: Bacterial small subunit ribosomal RNA
Source: RNAcentral
CCUACGGGUGGCAGCAGUGAGGAAUAUUGCACAAUGGGGGAAACCCUGAUGCAGCGACGCCGCGUGAGUGAAGAAGUAUUUCGGUAUGUAAAGCUCUAUCAGCAGGGAAGAAAAUGACGGUACCUGAUUAAGAAGCCCCGGCUAACUACGUGCCAGCAGCCGCGGUAAUACGUAGGGGGCAGGCGUUAUCCGGAUUUACUGGGUGUAAGGGGAGCGUAGACGGCAGCACAAGUCUGGAGUGAAAUGCCGGGGCUUAACCCCGGAACUGCUUUGGAAACUGGGCAGCUAGAGUGCAGGAGAGGUAAGUGGAAUUCCUAGUGUAGCGGUGAAAUGCGUAGAUAUUAGGAGGAACACCAGUGGCGAAGGCGGCUUACUGGACUGUAACUGACGUUGAGGCUCGAAAGCGUGGGGAGCAAACAGGAUUAGAUACCCCAGUAGUC